GCAAAUUUCCCUCAAUAUCUGGUUACUUUUUUAAAAAUAAAAGAAUACAACUUUUUUCUAUCAUUUUAAAAAAUAAAAAAAACAUAUCACAAAACCUAUACUCAACAGUUUAACAAACCUAUUAGUACACAACUGCUCUUCCAUCUUAUCCCUAAUUAAAACUUCCCCUAUUAUAUCUCAUCAUCUCUAAAACCUGUUUUACUUCUAUAUAACUACUUAUUUACCGUAAAACACUUCCAACUCUGUAAUCUCUUUCAACAUUCUUCAAACACUUACGUAUUCUAAAAAGAAACUCAAUUCAGGCUUCAUCAGCAACAUCACAAUUCAAAAUAUGCGAUGAAACUUACAAGUAUUUGUAAUUCGUUGAUGGGAGAUAAAGGAUCGUCACAAUCCUGAUAUUAUUUAUGCCAUGUUAUUCAUUCUACAGAACAAAAUUUACUAUUUGUAGAUUCUUUUGCUUUUUCAUCUCUUGAUGAAUUGAUAUGUGUUAUACUUUUAGGUAGAUUAGAUACAAACUUCUAGUGCAGAUUCAGUUAGGAAACAUUUCAAAUAAUCAGAUAUUAAAGGAAGGAUUUAUCUUAUGGCCAACUUUGUUUUCUGUAAAAAUACUCCAAUGUUUAAUGCCAAAAAUCAUGAUUCGAAGCUUAAUUUUACUCUAAGAACUACUUUUACUGAACGUCUGGUCUUCUUUUUCAGUGUAAUCUUUUCAAUUUCAGACUGUUCAAGCAAUUGAUAAAUGAGGUUGAUGUUCAGGCGAAUGACUUAUUUGACAACAGGUGGUCAUAUACUGGAUGCGAUUUGUUAAUCUUAGACAACAGGCAGUCAGUUAUAUACUGGAUGCAAUUAGUGUCGGAAAAAGGCAAAAUAUGUGGAAAACACUUAUGUUUGCACUAACCAGAAGUAAAAAGAUGUGGAUUCCUCUGCAGUUACCAGAUGAGUCAAUUGGAAGACAAUUUCCAAUAGUCUUUUUGGAGCACAUUAAAGAUGAUUUUGGUGCAAAUGAGGAGAUAAAACGGUUGUGACAACUCCUCCAAGUAACUUGAACGAGGAAUUCAGGUAAUUAAAUAUUAAAAAAUUACUGUAAUUGAUACAAGAAUGACAACGGAAGGCACAAAACAUACUCCAAAUCAGUCCACAAUCUUAA
Capsicum annuum is the source of this 1144-nucleotide long non-coding RNA. RefSeq lists it as uncharacterized. The record is from RefSeq and is a predicted model, not a curated record. The transcript is spliced from 3 exons. NCBI's taxonomy places the organism in Eukaryota, Viridiplantae, Streptophyta, Magnoliopsida, Solanales, Solanaceae.